This is a long non-coding RNA of Ooceraea biroi (clonal raider ant), 1356 nucleotides long. RefSeq lists it as uncharacterized. The record is from RefSeq and is a predicted model, not a curated record. Lineage: Eukaryota; Metazoa; Arthropoda; Insecta; Hymenoptera; Formicidae.
ACAUUAUAGGCGCACACAGUGUCUGCGAUCUGCAAGGGCCUUAAAACGGCCCUGACUGUGGCUCGGUGUUUCUUAUCUGACGCGCCAUAAAAUUCUUAUCCCAUGCAUUCGAGACCGGUGCUAUCACCACGGCGGAAUAUGCGAGCAGUAACUGCUCCUAAUCCUCGUAAUCGCGGUCUUCACCGCGGAACAAAACGAUCAGUAAGAACCUAUCGAGGCGCGAUCUGCGUCGUCGUUAUGUGGAACGGCUGCGAUAUUGCGGUACAGUUACCUUGACACGACGAGAGCACAUCCUUGCGCAGUGCGUGAAUCGAGGAUGAAAACGGGGCCGCGCCGUGAAUGCGCGUCGACGAAUUUCUAGGCUGUGAAUGCGCGCCGCGAGAGAACACAACCGAUGUGCUAUCUCGACAGGAUGCGAAUCGAUUAACUGAUGAUCGAUCGUGCCGGUUAAAUAACACUUAACUUUUCCACUCCGCGUAGCAUAUCCUGAAUAUAUAAAUCAGCGGGCGACAUGAUGAGCGGUGAAAGGCAAAAACGACAAGCGCAGUGAGAAAUACAGAACUCGAAAGUAGGAAUUUAGGAUACCAAGUAAUAUUAGCCAAAUGGAGCAUGUCUCUCGAAAAGAGGCGAAACCAAACUGUCGCAUAACACUUGAGUGCAAUCCAAAAUGUGUAAUUCGCAAGUUUACGCACUUUGUCAGUGAGCAAGGCAUGUAUAAAAUAUCCGCCACAAGCAGUCGUUAUGGAUUCGCGUUGUCUCGAUACUCUAUGCCUCAUUUGAACUGACCGUCUAGCGUUCGAGCUUAUCUGGAACACAGAUGUUGCUACCUACAAACAAUUUUUCUACGUGCCAAGCAAUACCAUGGAGAUAUUCGAUUACGCCAUGACGUUCGCAAAAUCAACAAUAAGUGCGACAAAGCCAUCUGUCAGACGUCAAUGAAAGCCAAUCUUCUUGCGCAGCAUCGACUGCUCUUCAGCAGCAACGCGGUUCAAAGUACCGAGGGACGACGUUAAACGUGGAAAGUACCCGUGGAUGGACGUGAAACGACGAUGUAAUCACGAGUAAGUAAGAAACGAAGUAAAACGAACUUGGCGUAGAGGCGAGAUUCAAUCUCAACGGAUGGAUUCACCAUGAAACGUCACGAUUCCCGGCGCGAUUCAUCACGUGAGCGUUUUCACGCGCUCUUCACUCCUGCUAUUGCUUUCUCGCACUUGUUUGCGCGCUUCCUUCCUUCGGGAUUUUUCCCUUUGGAGUCACGAUUUUAUUUUUGUAUCACUUUUCUAUUUCCGCACUUUUUUUUCUUCCUCAUCUGUACACUUUUGUCACUUUUGGAAUAAAUUUAUGUGUUUAGAAAAA